CCUACGGGUGGCAGCAGUGAGGAAUAUUGGUCAAUGGACGGAAGUCUGAACCAGCCAUGCCGCGUGAAGGACGAAGGUGCCAAGCAUUGUAAACUUCUUUUGUCAAGGGACAAAAUCAGGCUCGAGAGCCUGACCGAGGGUACUUGAAGAAAAAGCAUCGGCUAACUCCGUGCCAGCAGCCGCGGUAAUACGGAGGAUGCGAGCGUUAUCCGGAUUUAUUGGGUUUAAAGGGUGUGUAGGCGGACUGUUAAGUCAGCGGUAAAAGCCCGGGGCUCAACCCCGGCGAGCCGUUGAAACUGGCUGUCUUGAGAUGUCGAGAGGUAUGCGGAAUGCGCAGUGUAGCGGUGAAAUGCUUAGAUAGUGCGCAGAACUCCGAUUGCGAAGGCAGCAUACCGGCGGCGAUCUGACGCUGAGGCACGAAAGCGUGGGUAUCGAACAGGAUUAGAUACCCUAGUAGUC
RNAcentral lists this ribosomal RNA (459 nucleotides) under uncultured bacterium. RNAcentral describes it as "partial 16S ribosomal RNA". It matches the Rfam family "Bacterial small subunit ribosomal RNA", at positions 338 to 795 of the family's 1533-position model. The record is from RNAcentral.